RNAcentral lists this long non-coding RNA (332 nucleotides) under Prunus persica (peach). RNAcentral's name for it is "long non-coding RNA (PPER_LNC006014)". Lineage: Eukaryota; Viridiplantae; Streptophyta; Magnoliopsida; Rosales; Rosaceae. The record is from RNAcentral.
CUAGAUAGUAAAAUAAUAUUACCUUUAGUUUAAAAUAAAUAUGAAAUUAAAUAAUAUAUGAUGGUUUUAUCAUAAAAUUAAUAUACACUAGUGUAGCAAAAUAAAAAAUAAUGAAGUGGAACAAAAAUAACUGAAAAUUGAAAGAAAAAAAAAAGACAAAUGAAAAAAAAUAAAAAGAAUGAAAAAUUAGACCAACCAAAAAAAAUAAAUAAUAAAAGAAAGCAAUCAAACCAAUACAUUAGGUAGAAAAUGAAAAUGAAAAUUUGGUGUUUUCAGCUUUUGUACAUGAGUUUGAAUUUGUUUUCAGAAAAUAAUUCAAGUGAAAAUGAAAA